GUGUUGGCUUCAGCACCACGUGCACUAAAACUGGAACGAUACAGAGAUUAGCACGGCCCCUGUGCAAGGAUGACACGCAAGUGUGUGAAGCAGUCCAUAUCUUU
RNAcentral lists this small nuclear RNA (104 nucleotides) under Tursiops truncatus (common bottlenose dolphin). RNAcentral also lists the same sequence under 1 other name. The record is from RNAcentral. Lineage: Eukaryota; Metazoa; Chordata; Mammalia; Artiodactyla; Delphinidae.